GAUGAACGCUGGCGGCGUGCUUAACACAUGCAAGUCGAACGGUGAAGGAGGAGCUUGCUCUUCUGGAUCAGUGGCGAACGGGUGAGUAACACGUGAGCAAUCUGCCCUUGACUCUGGGAUAACAGUUGGAAACAGCUGCUAAUACCGGAUACGAGACGUGACCGCAUGGUCAACGUCUGGAAAGAACUUCGGUCAAGGAUGAGCUCACGGCCUAUCAGCUAGUUGGUGAGGUAAUGGCUCACCAAGGCGACGACGGGUAGCCGGCCAGAGAGGGUGACCGGCCACACUGGGACUGAGACACGGCCCAGACUCCUACGGGAGGCAGCAGUGGGGAAUAUUGCACAAUGGGCGAAAGCCUGAUGCAGCAACGCCGCGUGAGGGACGACGGCCCUAUGGGUUGUAAACUGCUUUUGUACGGGAGAAACACCCCCUCGUGAGGGGGCUUGACGGUACCGUAAGAAUAAGGAUCGGCUAACUCCGUGCCAGCA
Molecule: ribosomal RNA, 488 nt
Filed under: uncultured bacterium
Lineage: Bacteria
Description: bacterial SSU rRNA
Rfam family: Bacterial small subunit ribosomal RNA
Source: RNAcentral